This 301-nucleotide ribosomal RNA is filed under the name uncultured bacterium. Its description in RNAcentral is "partial 16S ribosomal RNA". It matches the Rfam family "Bacterial small subunit ribosomal RNA", at positions 509 to 807 of the family's 1533-position model. The record is from RNAcentral.
CAGUCGCCGGCGGUAAUACGUAGGUCCCGAGCGUUGUCCGGAUUUGUUGGGCGUAAAGCGAGCGCAGGCGGUUAGAUAAGUCUGAAGUUAAAGGCUGUGGCUUAACCAUAGUACGCUUUGGAAACUGUUUAACUUGAGUGCAAGAGGGGAGAGUGGAAUUCCAUGUGUAGCGGUGAAAUGCGUAGAUAUAUGGAGGAACACCGGUGGCGAAAGCGGCUCUCUGGCUUGUAACUGACGCUGAGGCUCGAAAGCGUGGGGAGCAAACAGGAUUAGAUACCCCCGUAGUCCCUGUCUCUUAUAC